RNAcentral lists this long non-coding RNA (2046 nucleotides) under Felis catus (domestic cat). RNAcentral's name for it is "lncRNA (ENSFCAG00000050475.1)". Lineage: Eukaryota; Metazoa; Chordata; Mammalia; Carnivora; Felidae. The record is from RNAcentral.
GGUAGGACCACGGCCUCACCGACAUGGCCCCAGCUAAUUGGUGGAUCCUGGGUUCAACCCUCCCGGAAUCCGAGCGUGGGUCCGGGGCCGGGAAGAAAAGAAAGUCACCCAGGACUACAAUUCCCACAAUGCACUACAUGGGCUUCUCUCGACGUGUGCUCUUGGAAAACGUAGUACAUUGUGGGGCAAGAUUUAAAAAUGCAGGUCCAUAAAGACAGAGAUGAGAAAGCGACAUACAUUCAGGAUAUAGACUUGGUCCAAGGAGCAGAAAGAUACUCAGAUUCCCUUCUGGUUUAUGUGGAAGACGGUCAUGUUAAAUUUCUCUUGAGAACACUCAUUGAGAGGGCCUCCAGGCCUUUCCCAUCAUCAUUGCUGAUGGAGCCCAUGACCAACACUUACCACGGAGGUGUGGGGGAGCAAUGGGAAGGUAGGAACACCAUUUGGCCUGGCCUCUCAAAGGUUGGUACUGGCAAAUGAGGUUCUACCUAUAGUUAGUGCAUCAAGAAAGCCCAUUUGUUAGAAAUGCAUGAUAUAUACAUUGCAACAAUACGACGUUUCUUGAAACUGCCUUUUUUUUUUUUUUGCAUUUCUUCCUUUUAAAACAUCUAGGAACCCUAAAAACUGGUCUAGGCCUCUCUGUAUAGGUGAGAGGAGUAACAGAUAAUUUUUAUUGACUAACCUUUCAUUUCCAACCUCUUUCUCCCUUUUCUGUCUCUGUUAGAAAGGCUGUUAAAACAAAAACAAAAAAACAAAGAAAAAUGGAUUUUCUGGUCUGCCUUGAAGUCAGCAGGGGCCAUAUGAUAGUGUUGGGCAAUGAGAUAUAAGCCAAAAUCUGCUGUCUCUUCUUUUCCUUCUUCCUUAUUCCUCUCUGGGACUCAAACAUGAUGGCUGGCAAUGUGGCAGCCACUGGCAAUCAGGAGGCAACUGGCAUGAGAAUGAAGGCUAACAUGGUAAGGAUGGCAGAGAAAAAGAGGAUUCAGUAUCUGGUAGCAAUUUUGGGCCACUUUGCCAGCACUGAAAGUACUUACAGACUUCUUGCUAGGUGAGACAAGUACCUUAUACGUUUAAGCUGCUAUUAAUUAGAUUUUCUUGUACUCACAGAAAAAUGACUUUCUAUCUGAUAUAGAGAUUUUGCCAAAACCACCACUGAAACAAAUUCCAUAUGUAUUUGCUUCCUCACUACCUCCUACAAGUGGCUAAUUAAGCAGUCAUCCCAAAACACAGUUAAAACAACCAUAUACACAAAAUGCUGCAAGUCUGAAGUUAUCAGUUCUCCAGAGACCUAAUUAGAUAUAUCUUUGAAAAGGUAUAGACUGAUCAAAGCAUUUACCUUUGUGUUCCAGCCCCAAAGCCCCCUAUUUAAAAUGACUGUAAUUUUUCAUUUGAAUCGCCACUCUCUUCAUUAAAGGGGAAAGGGGAAAUCGCUUAUGAUUACUCAUUUUUGGGUCUUCAGAUCUUACUUUGAGUCUGGUAUACAGAAGGCAACCAGCAAAUGUUUAUCAUAUUGAUAAAUUGUGAUAACACCUUGCAAGGAAAAAUAACUUGCCAUUUAGGGGUUGUUCUUUUUUGUCCCUUUAUGAGAAGACUCCUCAGACUUUAUUAGGCUGCCCCAGUCCAUGGACAAUACUGACUCAGGCUGUUGCUAUCCUAAAGACGCCUUCUAGAAGUUGUCUAAGAUCUCCCAGUGGUGUGGAAGAGAUAAAAAGAAUAGGUAACUCAAAUUAGGGAGUUGUUUUUCUCAGAAGACUUCCCUCUUACAGUAACUGGCCAGCACUUCUAAUAACUGUAAGUGAGGAGUUGUUUGUUUCUAGAUUAUCUCUUCUUUCUUAGCUAUGUAACUCCAAAUGAGUAAUUUGUAGAAUCAUGUGGAAGUUUUCUCCUCUCUCCAUGUGGGUGAAUCUCAGGGCAUCUUCUGUAGGAGUUUGAAAGCCUCUGAGUUUGGAUUUGGCAUCCUAAACAGAAGGAUCAAAAUCCAGCCUUAACACCUUUUUGACUAAAACCACCUUAUAUCUGUGGUUGUUAAAAUAAAGCUUUCCUGUCGGCUCA